RNAcentral lists this transfer RNA (66 nucleotides) under Varanus exanthematicus. RNAcentral's name for it is "tRNA-Thr". It matches the Rfam family "tRNA". From Rfam's summary of the family: Transfer RNA (tRNA) molecules are approximately 80 nucleotides in length. Lineage: Eukaryota; Metazoa; Chordata; Lepidosauria; Squamata; Varanidae. The record is from RNAcentral.
GUCCUAGUAGCUUAAUAAUAAAGCAUUGACCUUGUAAGCCAAAGAAUGGGACCCCCCCUAGGACAU